RNAcentral lists this unclassified non-coding RNA (520 nucleotides) under uncultured Glomus. Its description in RNAcentral is "SSU rRNA". It matches the Rfam family "Eukaryotic small subunit ribosomal RNA", at positions 569 to 1092 of the family's 1831-position model. Lineage: Eukaryota; Fungi; Glomeromycota; Glomeromycetes; Glomerales; Glomeraceae. The record is from RNAcentral.
AGCAGCCGCGGUAAUUCCAGCUCCAAUAGCGUAUAUUAAAGUUGUUGCAGUUAAAAGCUCGUAGUUGAAUUUCGGGGUUAGUAGGUUGGUCAUGCCUCUGGUAUGUACUGGUCUCACUGAUUCCUCCUUCCUGAUGAACCUUAAUGCCAUUAAUUUGGUGUUUUGGGGAAUUUGGACUGUUACUUUGAAAAAUUAGAGUGUUUAAAGCAAGCUAACGCUUGAAUACAUUAGCAUGGAAUAAUGAAAUAGGACGUUCGAUCCUAUUUUGUUGGUUUCUAGGAUUGACGUAAUGAUUAAUAGGGAUAGUUGGGGGCAUUAGUAUUCAAUUGUCAGAGGUGAAAUUCUUGGAUUUAUUGAAGACUAACUACUGCGAAAGCAUUUGCCAAGGAUGUUUUCAUUAAUCAAGAACGAAAGUUAGGGAUCGAAGACGAUCAGAUACCGUCGUAGUCUUAACCAUAAACUAUGCCGACUAGGGAUCGGAUGAUGUUAAUUUUUAAUGUACUCAUUCGGCGUCCUUACG